GAUGAGUUAGUGGGUGCAGCGCACUAGCAUGGCACAUGUAUACAUAUGUAACUAACCUGCACAAUGUGCACAUGUACCCUAAAACUUAAAGUAUAAUUAAAAAAAAAAGAAAAAAAGAAAUUAGGGCAAAAUAUGUAUGAAUAAAAAUAAGGUAUUAAAUGUUUAAUGCUUGAAAAAAAAGAAAAAAUCUUAAAGACAGCUAGAGAGAAGGGGCAGGUCACUUACAGAAGGAACUCCAUCAGGCUAGCAGCAGACUUCUCAGCAGAAACUUUACAAGACAAAAUAUAUUGAGAGCCUAUUUUCAGAAAAUUUUUUGUUUUGCAGUUCAUCUUUUUAUUUAAUAAAAUCAGAAUAUGCACAGCACAUGCAGUGCUAGAACCUGAACUAAUACAAUAAGCAAUUACUAAAGCUACAGUGACUUGAGGUUCAAUCUUUACAUUCGGCAAGUUUAAAUCUUUACAUGAUUUUUGAAUCCUUAUUAACUGAAAAUAUUGCUUGCUGAUAAAACUGACUGCUCAAAUGCUAUUGCUGAAUCUACAAGUCACUGAUUACACCAAUACAACAAAGAUAACCACAUGUUUGAGGAUUGCAAUGUGCCAUUCACUGAAAAAAAAAAAAAACCACACACAUAACUAAACAAAAUUCACACAACAAACAUCUCAGAAUCUGGACACUUCGUAUCAAUGUUCUGAAGUGUUUAAUUAAUAUCUUAAGACAAGUGUAUCAAAACCUUGGCAAGAUUUAAUUUCAAGUCGCCAAUUUUGUUUUUACUAACAUCAGAAAGGUAUGGCUACACUGCCAACGCCAGGCCUGCUUAAUUUAACUUAAGAAUUUAAUAUGACUUAAUAUUAAAAGCUCACAUUACCACAAAAUACAUACUUUCAUGCAUACGGUGACAUUCAACAUUCAAUUGCCAGUGUUUAUGUACUGUCUUUUGGUCAAGUUUCUUUAAAAAAGAAAAAUGAAGAGGGAGGGAGAGAGAGAGAGAGAGAGAGGAAGAAAGAAAAGAAAAAAGAAAAAUUGAAAGGAAAGGAAAGAGGAAAGGAAAAUAAAAGAAAAGAUCAGGUCAAUAUCCCUGAUUAACGUUGAUGCAAAAAUCCUCAACAAAAUGUUAGCAAAUUAAAUCCAGCAGUGCUUUAUUCCUGGGAUACAAGGCUGGUUCAACAUGCACAAAUCAAUAAAUAUAGUGCCAAAAGUCAGUUUGAAUAUCCAAAACAAUUUUAAGCAAACAAACAACAUAAAAAAUGCCAGAGGCAUCACAUUACCUGACUUCAAACUAUAUUUGAAGGCUGCAGUAAUCAAAACAGCAUAGUAGUGAUACUAGCCCCUGGUAAUGACUAUUCUACGUUCUGUCUUUAUGAAUUUGACUACUCUAAGCAUAUUAGGCAGGUCUGCAUGUCUUAACAUAAAUGCCAUAAACUGGGUGGUUUAAACAACAUAAAUUUGGU
Molecule: long non-coding RNA, 1448 nt
Filed under: Homo sapiens (human)
Lineage: Eukaryota; Metazoa; Chordata; Mammalia; Primates; Hominidae
Description: HSALNT0283814
Source: RNAcentral